CUUGGUCAUUUAGAGGAAGUAAAAGUCGUAACAAGGUUUCCGUAGGUGAACCUGCGGAAGGAUCAUUAUCGAAAUAAACCUGAUGAGUUGCUGCUGGCUCUCUAGAGAGCAAGUGCACGCUUAUCAUCUUUAUAUUUCCACCCGUGAACCUUUUGUAGACCUGAAUAUAUAUCUCUGAAAAUGCUCCUUGGCAUGUUUGGGUUUUGAGGAUUGAUUCUUUCUAGUGCCUUUCCUUACAUUUUCGGGUCUAUGUUUUCCACAUACCCCAUGUAUGUUUAUAGAGUGUAAUAAGUGGGCCUUAGUUGCCUAUAAAACUUAUACAACUUUCAGCAACGGAUCUCUUGGCUCUCGCAUCGAUGAAGAACGCAGCGAAAUGCGAUAAGUAAUGUGAAUUGCAGAAUUCAGUGAAUCAUCGAAUCUUUGAACGCAUCUUGCGCUCCUUGGUAUUCCGAGGAGCAUGCCUGUUUGAGUGUCAUUAAUAUAUCAACCCCUUCAGCCUUUUCUUGCCUGUUGGGUGUUGGACAAUGGGGGGUUUUCUUUUGCUGGACUCCUUUCUCGAGGUCAGCUCCCCUAAAAUGCAUUAGCAAAACAAUUUGUCUACUGCUCAUUGGUGUGAUAACUAUCUACGCUAUUGACAGUGAAGCAUGGUUUAGCUUCUAACAGUCCAUUGACUUGGACAAAAAACUUUUUCAUUAAUGUGACCUCAAAUCAGGUAGGACUACCCGCUGAACUUAAGCAUAUCAAUAA
RNAcentral lists this ribosomal RNA (747 nucleotides) under uncultured fungus. RNAcentral describes it as "eukaryotic LSU rRNA". The stretch from base 322 to 475 matches the Rfam family "5.8S ribosomal RNA". Lineage: Eukaryota; Fungi. The record is from RNAcentral.